AUUGAACGCUGGCGGCAGGCCUAACACAUGCAAGUCGAGCGGAUGAAGGGAGCUUGCUCCUGGAUUCAGCGGCGGACGGGUGAGUAAUGCCUAGGAAUCUGCCUGGUAGUGGGGGAUAACGUCCGGAAACGGGCGCUAAUACCGCAUACGUCCUGAGGGAGAAAGUGGGGGAUCUUCGGACCUCAUGCUAUCAGAUUAGCCUAGGUCGGAUUAGCUAGUUGGUGGGGUAAAGGCCUACCAAGGCGACGAUCCGUAACUGGUCUGAGAGGAUGAUCAGUCACACUGGAACUGAGACACGGUCCAGACUCCUACGGGAGGCAGCAGUGGGGAAUAUUGGACAAUGGGCGAAAGCCUGAUCCAGCCAUGCCGCGUGUGUGAAGAAGGUCUUCGGAUUGUAAAGCACUUUAAGUUGGGAGGAAGGGCAGUAAGUUAAUACCUUGCUGUUUUGACGUUACCAACAGAAUAAGCACCGGCUAACUUCGUG
Molecule: ribosomal RNA, 484 nt
Filed under: uncultured bacterium
Lineage: Bacteria
Description: partial 16S ribosomal RNA
Rfam family: Bacterial small subunit ribosomal RNA
Source: RNAcentral